GACGUAGGGGGCAAGCGUUGUUCGGAAUUACUGGGCGUAAAGGGCGCGUAGGCGGCGCGGGUAGUCAUCGGUGAAAGUUCAGGGCUCAACUCUGAAUCGGCCGGUGAUACUCCCGUGCUCGAGCACUGUAGAGGCAGGUGGAAUUCCGGGUGUAGCGGUGGAAUGCGUAGAGAUCCGGAAGAACACCGGUGGCGAAGGCGGCCGUGCUGGGCAGUGAGCUGACGCUGAUGCGCGACAGCGUGGGGAGCAAACAGG
This 255-nucleotide ribosomal RNA is filed under the name uncultured bacterium. Its description in RNAcentral is "partial 16S ribosomal RNA". It matches the Rfam family "Bacterial small subunit ribosomal RNA", at positions 524 to 776 of the family's 1533-position model. The record is from RNAcentral.